This 868-nucleotide ribosomal RNA is filed under the name uncultured bacterium. RNAcentral's name for it is "bacterial SSU rRNA". It matches the Rfam family "Bacterial small subunit ribosomal RNA", at positions 51 to 935 of the family's 1533-position model. The record is from RNAcentral.
UAGAAUGCAAGUCGAACGGACAGUACCUUCGGGUGCUGUUAGUGGCGAACGGUCGCGUAACACGUAGGCAACCUGCCCGAAAGUGGGGGACAACAGCCCGAAAGGGUUGCUAAUACCGCAUGUGGUCAUUUCCUCGCAUGAGGAGACGACUAAAGGAUUUAUUCGCUUUCGGAUGGGCUUGCGGCCUAUCAGGUAGUUGGUGGGGUAACGGCCUACCAAGCCGAUGACGGGUAGCUGGUCUGAGAGGAUGGUCAGCCGGAUUGGGACUGAGAUACGGCCCAGACUCCUACGGGGGGCAGCAAUUAGGAAUCUUGCACAAUGGGGGAAACCCUGAUGCAGCGACGCCGCGUGCGGGAUGAAGGCCUUCGGGUCGUAAACCGCUUUUGUUGGGGAAGAAUACUGACGGUACCCAACGAAUAAGCCCCGGCUAACUACGUGCCAGCAGCCGCGGUAAUACGUAGGGGGCGAGCGUUGUCCGAAGUUACUGGGCGUAAAGCGCGCGUAGGCGGUCCAUUUAGUCUGGGGUGAAAGGUUCAGCGCUCAACGUGAACAGUGCCUUGGAUACUGGUGGACUUGAGUGUCGGAGAGGGAAGCGGAAUUCCUGGUGUAGCGGUGAAAUGCGUAGAUAUCAGGAGGAACACCGAUGGCGAAGGCAGCUUCCUGGCCGAAAACUGACGCUGAGGUGCGAAAGCGUGGGGAGCGAACGGGAUUAGAUACCCCGGUAGUCCACGCCGUAAACGAUGAGUGCCAGGUGUCCGGGGUAUCGACCCCCUGGGUGCCGACGUUAACAUAUUAAGCACUCCGCCUGGGGAGUACGGCCGCAAGGUUGAAACUCAAAGGAAUUGACGGGGGCCCGCACAAGCGGUGG